Etheostoma spectabile (orangethroat darter) is the source of this 358-nucleotide long non-coding RNA. RefSeq lists it as uncharacterized. The record is from RefSeq and is a predicted model, not a curated record. The transcript is spliced from 3 exons. Lineage: Eukaryota; Metazoa; Chordata; Actinopteri; Perciformes; Percidae.
UGUCAUUAUACCAUGGUCUGGGUGAAUACUCAAUUCCGAUUGGCUGCAGGGUGUCCAUAAAAAAGUGACACCAGCUAAAGCAGUUACGGUGAAACUGACUGUUUACUGUUCUAAAUUGAUGCGCUACAUUAAAACAAAAAGGAAAUGUGAAUUUGUUCAUUUUAACACUGUGAGGUUCUUCAGUGCCUCGUCCUCUGAACACCCCAGGAUGGUGCUAACACACAAGCUGCAAGAAGAAAGUUUUAGGGACCUUCUGAACUGACUUUGUUUCACGGUGAAUAACGUUAUCCACAUCCCGUUCACUGUUCAGGUCGCUACUGCAGGCUGCGGCCGACAGUAAUGUUAGAUAGUUAUCCAU